Molecule: transfer RNA, 76 nt
Filed under: Salmonella enterica subsp. enterica serovar Enteritidis str. EC20120697
Lineage: Bacteria; Pseudomonadati; Pseudomonadota; Gammaproteobacteria; Enterobacterales; Enterobacteriaceae
Description: tRNA-Gly (GCC) (tRNA-Gly-GCC-2-1)
Rfam family: tRNA
About the family: Transfer RNA (tRNA) molecules are approximately 80 nucleotides in length. Their secondary structure includes four short double-helical elements and three loops (D, anti-codon, and T loops).
Source: RNAcentral
GCGGGAAUAGCUCAGUUGGUAGAGCACGACCNUGCCAAGGUCGGGGUCGCGAGUUCGAGUCUCGUUUCCCGCUCCA